CGCAUCUGUGCAUGCAGCAUAUCAAUAAGCGGAGGAAAAGAAACUAACAAGGAUUCCCCUAGUAACGGCGAGUGAAGCGGGAAGAGCUCAAAUUUGAAAUCUUAAAGGGUUUCCCUUUACGAAUUGUAGUUUAAAGAAGUGUUUUCUGUUGAGGUUUUGGUAAAAGUUCUUUGGAAUAGGACAUCAUAGAGGGUGAGAAUCCCGUAUUUGACCUUUACUUUCAACUUUGUGAUACACUUUCAAAGAGUCGGAUUGUUUGAGAAUGCAGUCCAAAAUGGGUGGUAAAUUUCAUCUAAAGCUAAAUAUUGGCGAGAGACCGAUAGCGAACAAGUACCGUGAGGGAAAGAUGAAAAGAACUUUGAAAAGAGAGUUAAACAGUACGUGAAAUUGUCAAAAGGGAAGCGUUUGACACCAGUGUUGUUUUUCUGAAAAUCAAUUAAAGAACUGUUUAUGCUAAGUUGUUUAGACUUUAUCAGCUAUCUGUUUAGUUUUGAGCUUUUCUUUAAUGCACUUUUCAGUUAACAAGUCAACAUCAAUUUCUUUUGCUGUAAAAAAGCUUGAGGAAGGUGGCUUGAGAUUCGUCUUAAGUGUUUAUAGCCUCUUGCCUAUGCAGUCGGAGAGAUUGAGGUCUGCAGCGUAGAUCCUUCGGGGCUAAAUGCAUAUGUGCUAAGUUAUAGCAUUUUAUAGACAACUUGUUGACUAUGAUUUGUCUUGUAGCUUACUCGCUUAUGUUAUUUUACCUACGCUUAGGAUGUUGACAGCAGUAUAGACUGU
RNAcentral lists this ribosomal RNA (774 nucleotides) under uncultured Neocallimastigales. Its description in RNAcentral is "partial large subunit ribosomal RNA". It matches the Rfam family "Eukaryotic large subunit ribosomal RNA", at positions 26 to 629 of the family's 3401-position model. The record is from RNAcentral. Lineage: Eukaryota; Fungi; Neocallimastigomycota; Neocallimastigomycetes; Neocallimastigales.